Molecule: long non-coding RNA, 744 nt
Organism: Zea mays
Lineage: Eukaryota; Viridiplantae; Streptophyta; Magnoliopsida; Poales; Poaceae
Exons: 2
Source: RefSeq, a predicted model, not a curated record
GUUCUUUACAAACUAAGACUUGUAUGCUUUUUAUUUAUCAAUUUUAGAUCUUGUUUAGAUUCUUAUGGUGUCAAAAUAUUUCUACGUUGUUUCAGGAUCUUCUGUUUUUGGCUUGUAGUCAUCUAGAUAACAGAACUACAAUGACUAGAGUGUCCAGAAUGGAUUUUGGAGAUUUUGAUAUCUAACCAUGAGGAUGUGGAGGCAACAAUUCAUUGUGCGGAGUGACUCUCAAUGGUUGGACGAUCUUGCACUGGAGGCCAAAGGAUCAGGUGGUCCCUUCACUCUUAAAAAGCUGUAGGUUAGCUAGAUAUCGUGGUGAACUUCGGGCUACAUCUUCAAAGGCUGCUACUGAUGAAGUGGUGCUUGCAAAAACAACUCAACAAACUGCAGACCAAGAAGUGGGUGCUACAAUUUCAGCAACCCGUAUAACAACACAAUAUCAGCAGGAACAGCUGACUGUCAGCCAUGAAACGCUGACUACACUUUCAGCAGGAACUCCACCACGCAUGAAAGGAUGGCUAGUUAAAAAAUCACCCCCAAGAAGAAGAAAGUGUGAAGUAUUUGUGUUUUGUGUGUGAACUGAAAUCUGGGAACUAUGUAUCUGUGGUUUGUGUCUGUGUACUGAAAUCUGGGAACUGAAACUAUGUAUGUGUGGUUUCUGUGUGUGAACUGGAACUGAGUCACAGAACUAUGUAUCUGUGAUAUGUGUGAACUGCAAUCUGAAAUUGUCAGUUUAUUGCUGAA